CUCACAGUGUGUUUUCUGUUAAAUCCACCUGCUUCCUGUGCACACAGUUUAGUCUCUGUUCCACAUCCUUUGUUAGGUUUAGUUCUGAUUGUUAUCCGGUUUUAUCACCUUGUUGUAUUUUAUCAUUUUGCUAUUAGUUGCUGUUUUUUGCUACCUCCAGGAUGUCUUAUGUUCUGUAGGUAUUCAGUUGUUGAUGUCUUUAAGUAUUAUUAUCCUUAUUUUGUGGGUGUGUUUAUUUAGUGAUAUUCUCUGUAUAGGUCCGUUUGGUCAUGUCUGGGUCUCCCGUGUUCCACCCCUGCAUCCUCACCUGUCAGUCUUGUUGUGUUUGUCUGUUGCACUCCUUCACAUGUUUGAGUUACACAUUGAUGUUCUGCUUUAAUUCUGGAUUGUGGUUGUGGUCGUUAUUAGCCCUUAUAGUCAUUGUGCACUGAUCACCUCCUCACAUUAUUAGGUUAGUGCCUUCACUCUUGCACUUUAUUAGCUCCUGAGUUCUAUGCUGGUUGGUGGUUUUAUGAUUUCUCCUCUUCUUCUGUUAUGGCUGGUUAUUGUAUUUUAUUUCCUUUUCACCUGUUAUUCAUUGUAUUAUCAUGAUUAUUCUUACACUAGUUUAUGUCUGUUCAGUUAUUUCAUCUCCCUGCACUCUGUUUCUCCCGCGUGAGUCUUAAGUUCCGCCCCUCGUUUGCCUCUCACCUGUUGUUAAUUUCACCUGUUAUUUAAGCACUUCCUUGUUU
Thalassophryne amazonica is the source of this 731-nucleotide long non-coding RNA. RefSeq lists it as uncharacterized. The record is from RefSeq and is a predicted model, not a curated record. NCBI's taxonomy places the organism in Eukaryota, Metazoa, Chordata, Actinopteri, Batrachoidiformes, Batrachoididae. The transcript is spliced from 3 exons.